UUCUCUCUCAAAUAUCAAUUCAACCCCAAAUCCAAACCUGAUCAUAAUUUCAAAAACUCAUUCCAAUAUCUCUCUCUACUCUCUCUCUCUCUUCGAUGAAGAAUACAAAGCCCUAAUUUCGAUGUACUCACGGAAGAUGAAUCCCCAAAUUGUUCUUCCUGGUCACUAAGAUAAAUCUGAGCAAUUGAACUCUCACCUCUCCCUUAAAUCUAGAGCUUCCUCGAAUCCCCUCUUCGCUGGUCACUAAAAUCCCCAAAUUGUUCUUCACCUGCACCAACCCGAAUCCUAGAUUCCGCAAAUCGUCAAUUGUGUUGAUCAUCUAUUCGAUGUGUUUCAUCAAUCUCGAAUCCUGACUCACAAACACACAAAACAGGAUGGACGAUACUUGUGUUGUGUGUGCUGAAACCCUAUAAUGGAUUGCUUACGGAAGAUGUGGACACAAGGAUGUUUGUUCCACAUGCGUUGCUCGUCUUCGAUUUAUUUAUAAUGAUCGUCGUUGCUUCAUCUGCAAAUUUGAGUCCUCGAUCAUCUUCGUUACCAAGAAAAUGAAGUACACAAGCUUUGUCAUAUAUGCAUCUGAUGUUGCUGUUAUUCUCUUCUCCUCCAAUGACAAGCUGUUUCAUUACUCCAGUUCAAGUUGCUUCUGCUGGUUUUGGCAAUUGAGUUUGUGUCGUUUUGGAGCUGGCUACCAAAUCGUUCAACCUAUGUGCAGUAUGAAAGCGAUAAUGAUAAUGAAGAUUCAGAACUGGACUACUAAUCAUCAUCGAUUCAUCACUUUCAGUAGCAGGUCAUGUCGAAUUCCGUUCGUCUUCUUUUUGUUAUUCUUAUUAUUAUGCUGAUUGGAUACAAUGACAUUGCAUACGGUGUUGUCGAUGAGUACAAACGAGAUCACCUGAUUUCGUUUUUGGCCAAAGAACUUCUACAUAUCAGAAAAUGAAGUAUACAAGCUUUGUCAUAUAUGCAUCUGAUAUUGCUGUUAUUCUCUUCACCUCCAAUGACAAGUUGUUUCAUUACUCCAGUUCAAGUUGCUUCUGUUGGUUUUGGCAAUUGAGUUUGUGUUGUUUUGGAGCUGGCUACCAGAUCAUUCGACCUAUGUGCAGUAUGAAAGCGAUGAAAGUGAUCAUGAUAAUGAAGAUUCAGAACUGGACUACUAAUCGUCAUUGAUCUAUCACUUUCAGUAGCAGGUCGUGUCGAAUUCCAUUCGUCUUCUUUUUGUUAUUCUUAUUAUUAUGCUAAUUGGAUAUAAUGACAUUGCAUACGGUGUUGUCGAUGAGUACAAAUUAGAUGAUUUUCCACCUGAUUUCGUUUUUGGCCAAAGAACUGCAUAUCAGGUUGAAGGAGCGGUGUUGGAAGAUGGGCGUACUUACAUCAUCUGGGACAUUUUUGCACAUGCAUGUAUUAAUAUAAUGUAUUCUUUAUGUUGUUUGGACUUUCCGUGGACAAUUUUCUAAUGGUACAUAACGUGUUUUUCGAAUUUAUGUUGAGUUGAACUCAUCGACAACAUAAAACUUUGCAAGAAAAGAAUUGCAAUCUUCAAAAAAAAAUGAGCAUUUUCUUGAAAUUUAUAAGUUAACUAAAUAUACAUUUCUUUACAAUAUUGAAGUGUUUGUGAUGUAAUUGGAGAUCAAGCUGCAUGAGAUACUGAGCGAGGGUGAUGAAAACUCUGGGUUGGAUUCAUCUGAUCAUGUAAUCCAAAAGUAUAAUGGUAAUUUCGUUUUAAUUUUUUAAAACUUAUUUUGUAGCUUUUAUUGUCUAAAUUACUAGCUAUAUAA
RNAcentral lists this long non-coding RNA (1772 nucleotides) under Helianthus annuus (common sunflower). Lineage: Eukaryota; Viridiplantae; Streptophyta; Magnoliopsida; Asterales; Asteraceae. The record is from RNAcentral.